GCCUAAAGCGUCCGUAGCCUGUUCUAUAGGUUUCCGGUUAAAUCCAUUAGCUCAACUAAUGGGCCGCCGAAAAUACUGUAGAACUAGGGAGUGGGAGAGGUAGACGGUAUUCGGUAGGAAGGGGUAAAAUCCUUUGAUCUAUUGAGGACCACCUGUGGCGAAGGCGGUCUACCAGAACACGUUCGACGGUGAGGGAUGAAAGCUGGGGGAGCAAACCGGAUUAGAUACCCGGGUAGUCCCAGCCGUAAACGAUGCAGACUCGGUGAUGCGCUGGCUUGUGGCCAGUGCAGUGCCGCAGGGAAGCCGUUAAGUUUGCCGCCUGGGAAGUACGUACGCAAGUAUGAAACUUAAAGGAAUUGGCGGGGGAGCACCACAAGGGGUGAAGCCUGCGGUUCAAUUGGAGUCAACGCCAGAAAUCUUACCCGGAGAGACAGCAGAAUGAAGGUCAAGCUGAAGACUUUACCAGACAAGCUGAGAGGUGGUGCAUGGCCGUCGCCAGCUCGUGCCGUGAGAUGUCCUGUUAAGUCAGGUAACGAGCGAGAUCCUUGCCUCUAGUUGCCACCAUUACUCUCAGGAGUAGUGGGGCGAAUUAGCGGGACCGCCGUAGUUAAUACGGAGGAAGGAAGGGGCCACGGCAGGUCAGUAUGCCCCGAA
This 654-nucleotide ribosomal RNA is filed under the name uncultured archaeon. RNAcentral's name for it is "bacterial SSU rRNA". It matches the Rfam family "Archaeal small subunit ribosomal RNA", at positions 508 to 1160 of the family's 1478-position model. The record is from RNAcentral.